CUCGUAGGCGGUUUGAUAAGUCGGGUGUGAAAUCUCCAGGCUCAACCUGGAGAGGUCACUCGAGACUGUUAUGACUAGAGUCCGGUAGGGGACCACGGAAUUCCUGGUGUAGCGGUGAAAUGCGCAGAUAUCAGGAGGAACACCAGUGGCGAAGGCGGUGGUCUGGGCCGGAACUGACGCUGAGGAGCGAAAGCGUGGGUAGCAAACA
This 208-nucleotide ribosomal RNA is filed under the name uncultured bacterium. RNAcentral's name for it is "partial 16S ribosomal RNA". It matches the Rfam family "Bacterial small subunit ribosomal RNA", at positions 568 to 774 of the family's 1533-position model. The record is from RNAcentral.